Molecule: ribosomal RNA, 253 nt
Filed under: uncultured bacterium
Lineage: Bacteria
Description: partial 16S ribosomal RNA
Rfam family: Bacterial small subunit ribosomal RNA
Source: RNAcentral
UACAGAGGUGGCAAGCGUUGUUCGGAAUUACUGGGCGUAAAGGGCGCGUAGGCGGUCUUGUAAGUCUUGUGUGAAAUCCCUCAGCUUAACUGGGGAACUGCGUCUGAGACUGAUUGGCUCGAGGACAGGAGAGGAACGCGGAAUUCCAGGUGUAGCGGUGAAAUGCGUAGAUAUCUGGAGGAACACCGGUGGCGAAGGCGGCGUUCUGGACUGUUUCUGACACUGAAUAACGAAAGCCAGGGGAGCAAACGGG